CACCGGCGGCUCGAGUGGUGGCCACUUUUAUUGGGUCUAAAGCGUCCGUAGCCGGCUUGGCAAGUCCCCUGGGAAAUCUGGCGGCUUAACCGUCAGGCGUCCAGAGGAUACUGCCAGGCUUGGGACCGGGAGAGGUGAGAGGUACCUCAGGGGUAGGGGUGAAAUCUUGUGAUCCCUGAGGGACCACCAGUGGCGAAAGCGUCUCACUAGAACGGGUCCGACGGUCAGGGACGAAAGCUGGGGGCACGAACCGG
RNAcentral lists this ribosomal RNA (254 nucleotides) under uncultured microorganism. RNAcentral's name for it is "partial 16S ribosomal RNA". It matches the Rfam family "Archaeal small subunit ribosomal RNA", at positions 474 to 727 of the family's 1478-position model. The record is from RNAcentral.